This 4202-nucleotide unclassified non-coding RNA is filed under the name Hevea brasiliensis (rubber tree). Lineage: Eukaryota; Viridiplantae; Streptophyta; Magnoliopsida; Malpighiales; Euphorbiaceae. The record is from RNAcentral.
GGAGGCGGCGAUGUUUUGCCACAGGACGCAAUCUUCGGAAAAUCAAGAACUCUACAGUGUAAUCGGCGACGUAAACCGCGAUAAACCAUAAGGAAUUGAAGAGAGUGGGACGGAAAUUUAUGGUUAUGUGGAGGAAAUUGGAGGUGGGGUUAUAAAUAAUAAAUUAAUUAUUGAGGUUGGGGAAAAGAAGGCGGUGGAAAUUGAGGAGAAAUGGAAAGAAAGUAGUGGGAAGCGGUGAAAAAUUGUGAUUCUGGGAAGGACGGAGGUAGUAGGUUGGGGAAGAAGCGUGGUAGGAAGCCCAAGAAAAAUAAGGAAAGAUUGCAUGUUCAGGAUGCUGAGUGCGCACCUGUUGAACAGAGUGGUGAAAAAGUGGAAAAGGUUGAAGGCGAAAGCCCAGCGAAUGGUCAGACGAUGAAAGAGAAUGGUCCAGCUCGCCGCUUCUGGCACAUCAGUUUGGUAUCAGAGCCUUGGUUAAGAAGCACUUUGAAGCCUUUGGAGUGCAAACACGUGAGGGAGUGAACCAACCUGUCCUUUAACCGAGUGAAACACUUAGUGAGUUUGAUUGUGAUAGCAACAUGUCUGAUGAAGGAGAGGUGCCUUCACCAGUUUCAAGAGGUCUCAUAUUGGAUCAAGCACAUAUGCUAAGACUUGAAAGACAGCAGAAUGCAAUGCAAGAGCAAAUUGCUUAGAUCACACAAGCUUUGGCAAGACUAGUUGCACUCCAGCCAUAGAGAACGCAAUGGUCCUAGGCAGCAAGGGCGUGGUGAUGAUGAUGAAGAACCUGGAGUUGAUGAAGGUGCUUAUGAUCAGCACCUGCCUAGGCAUCCACAUGGCCAAAGAGACAACAUCAAGAUGAAGAUUUCAACCUUUCGAGGUACCAGCUCACCUGAAGAGUACCCAGAAUGGGUACAAAGAGUUGACAAAAUCUUUGAAUAUCAGGAAUACAGCGAAGCAAAGAAGUGCAAACUUGCUGCCAUUGAGUUUGUUGAUUAUGCAAACUUAUGGUGGGAGAACGUAAAGGCUCAAAGACAUAGGAAUAGGCUUGAUGAUGUACAAACUUGGUGUGAGAUCAAAAGAAUCAUGGAGAAGCGAUUUGUACCUGAAUAUUACAAACAGGAGUUGUAUAUCAAACUCCAAAGUUUGCGCCAAGGUGGAAUGUGUGUGAAAGACUAGUUAAAAAAUUUGAGAUGCUGAUGUUGAGAUGUGAUGUGAGGGAACCACAAAAACAAAUCAUUGCCCAUUUUCUUGGUGGUUUGAAUUAUGAAAUUGCUAAUACUGUUGAAUUGCAACCAUAUGUGUUUUUGCAGGAUAUGAUCAAACUUGCCAUUAAGGUUGAAAGACAAAGAAUGAAAGGUGGAUACAAGGGCACUACUACCAAAACAUUCACAAAACCUUCUAACACUAGCACCCCACUUACUAGUGAUAAAGGUGGCGUGAAGAAGUAUGACGAAGGAGAGAGCUCUGCCAAAGCACCCGUUGGUGUAAGCCAGGGUAAGGAGAAGGAAGUAGAUCCAGCCCCUCCCAAAAGAAGUAGAGACAUAAAAUGCUUCAAGUGCCUCGGCCAUGGACACAUUGCUUCAGAAUGUCCCAACAAGAGAGUAAUGGUGUUGAGGGAAGCCUAAUGGGACGUAGAGAGUGAAGAUGAGACUUGCGAAGAGAAAGAGAAUCAUGAAUCAUAUGGUGAUAAGGAAGUAGAGUAUGCUGAUUUUGGGGAGAUGUUAGUGGUCAGAAGAACCUUAAGUGCACAUGCAACAAAAGAGGAAGAGCAAAGAGAGAACAUCUUCCAUACCAGAUGCACUAUUUUCAGCAAGGUAUGUAAUGUCAUUAUUGAUGGUGGUAGCUGUACUAAUGUUGCUUCUACUACCUUAGUAGAGAAACUUAAUCUGCCCACCUUAGUGCAUCCUCAUCCUUAUAAGUUGCAAUGGCUGAAUGAUGAUGGUGAUGUUAAGGUGACUAGGCAAGUAGUUGUUCCUUUCUUCAUAGACAAGUAUAAAGAUGAAGUUGUGUGUGACAUUGUGCCCAUAAAUGCUAGCCAUUUGUUAUUAGGGAGGCCAUGGCAAUUUGAUAGAAGGGCUGUGCAUGAUGGUUUUAAAAAUACUUUUUUUAUGAAGAAUGGAAAAAGAAUUGUAUUAACCCCUCUUAGUCCCCAACAACUACAUCAAGAACAGCUGAUUUGUAACAAACAAAAGAAGGAGAGUUUGUUCCUCAACAAGGGGGACGUUUUGAAGGUUAUCACUAACCUCAAUUUUGUUUUUGUGCUUAUUGUUAAAGAAUUGCUGGAAUCUAAUCACAUUGCAGUUCCUCCCAUGUGGCCGAACUAUUGGUAGAAUUUGAAGAUGUUUUUUUCUGAAGAAUUGCCAAAGGGACUACCUCCCCUUCGUGGCAUUGAACAUCAUGUUGAUUUAAUUCUUGGAGCGGCAUUACCAAAUAGACCAGCCUACAGAAGCAAUCCCGAAGAGGCUAAGGAGUUGCAUAAGCAAGUCAUGGAGCUGUUGAAAAAGGGCUAUGUUCAUGAGUCCAUGAGCCCAUGCUCUGUUCCAGCUUUGUUGGUGCCCAAAAAGGAUGGUUUCAUGUGCAUGUGUGUUGAUAGUAGGGCCAUCAAUAAAAUCACUUUAAAGUAUCGCUAUCCCAUCCCUAGACUUGAUGACAUGCUUGAUGAGUUACAUGGUGCUGUUAUCUUUUCAAAAGUUGAUCUGAAAAGUGGUUACCUUCAGAUUCCAAUGAAGGAGGGGGAUGAAUGGAAAACAGCCUUUAAAACAAAGUUUGGGUUGUAUGAGUGGAUGCCUUUUGGCCUUUCUAAUGUUUCUAGCACUUUUAUGAGACUCAUGAAUCAUGUACUAUGCCACUUCAUUGGCAAAUUUGUGGUUGUUUAUUUUGAUGAUAUUCUGAUUUAUAACAGGAGUUUUGAAGAUCAUCUGAAGCAUCUAAGGGCUAUUUUUGAAGUUCUACGCCAAGAAAAGUUGUAUGUGAACAUCAAGAAGUGCACUUUUUGCCACGAUCAAGUCACAUUCCUUGGCUUUGUGGUAUCCAAACAUGGCGUGAAGGUGGACAAAGAGAAGGUGCAAGCAAUACAAGAAUGUCCAGUACCAACUAGAAUCUCGGAGGUGAGAAGUUUUCUUGGCCUAGCCUCUUUCUACAGGAGGUUUGUAAAGAAUUUCAGCAUCAUCAUGGCCCUCAUAACAGAAUGCUUAAAGAAGGAAGAGAAAUUUAAUUGGAGCAAAGAUGCCCAAAAUAGCUUUGAACUCAUCAAAGCAACACUGACCUCUACUCCAAUACUUGCAUUGUUGGAUUUUCGUAGACCUUUGAGGUAGAAUGCGAUGCUUCCGGAGUGGGAAUUGGGGCUGUUCUAAUGCAAAAAGGACAUUCCAUUGCUUAUUUCAGUGAAAAGUUGAAUGGAGCUAGUCUGAACUACUCAACCUAUGAUAAAGAGUUCUACGCUCUUGUUUGUGCCUUGGAGACUUGGCAACACUAUCUCUUGCCAAGAGAGUUUGUUAUCCACACAGACCAUGAGUCCUUGAAGCACCUAAAAGGACAAAGUAAGCUGAACAAGCGAUAUGCCAAAUGGGUGGAGUUUCUUGAAUCAUUCCAAUAUGUGAUCAAGUAUAAGAAGGGACACUCCAACAUUGUGGCUGAUGCAUUAUCCAGGAGGUAUGCCUUAAUCUCUUUGCUAAAUACUAAGCUGUUGGGAUUUGAAUUGAUGAUUGAACAAUAUAAGUCAGAUAGGGACUUUUCUUCUAUCUAUGAUUCUUGCAAAGAGAAAGCCUUUCAGGGAUUCUACCAACAUGAUGGCUACCUCUUUAAAAUGGGAAAGUUGUGUAUUCCCAACUGUUCUAUUAGAGAAUUAUUGGUAAGGGAGGCACAUGGAGGGGGUCUCGCUAGCCAUUUCGGUGAAAAGAAGACUUUAGAAGCCUUAAAGGAGCAUUUCUAUUAGCCAAGUAUGAUGAAAGAUGUACACAAAGUAGUAGAGAAAUGUGUGACGUGCAAGAAAGCUAAAAGCAAGGAGAUGGCACAAGGGCUGUAUAUGCCUCUUCCAGUUCCUAAUCACCUAUGAGAACAUGUGAACAUGAAUUUUGUACUUGGCUUGCCCAGAACUCAAAGGGGCAAAGAUUCCAUAUUGGUUGUUGUUGAUCGGUUUUCUAAAAUGGCUCAUUUUGUUCCUUGCCAUAAAACUGAUGAUGCCACAAAUAUUGUUGAUUUAUUCU